GACGAACGCUGGCGGCGUGCAUAACACAUGCAAGUCAAGGGGGUCAGUAGCAAUGCUGGCAACCGGCGAACGGGUGCGUAACACGUAAGCGACCUACCUCAAUGUGGGGCAUAGCCGGCCUAACGGCCGGGUAAUUCCGCAUGUGAUCUUGGAGGGGCAUCUCUCCGGGAUGAAACCAGUAAUGGGCAUUGAGAGGGGCUUGCGGCCUAUCAGCUUGNGGUGAGGUAACGGCUCACCAAGGCUACGACGGGUAGCUGGUCUGAGAGGACGACCAGUCACACUGGAACUGAGACACGGUCCAGACACCUACGGGUGGCAGCAGUCGAGAAUUUUUGACAAUAGGGGGAAACCCUAGAUCGAGCGACGCCGCGUGGAGGAUGAAGGUCGUUCGGGUUGUAAACCCCUGUCAUUUGUAGAACAAGGUGCACCGGUUAACGUGCCGGCGCAUUGAUAGUAUCAGAAGAGGAAGAGC
This 472-nucleotide ribosomal RNA is filed under the name uncultured bacterium. RNAcentral describes it as "bacterial SSU rRNA". It matches the Rfam family "Bacterial small subunit ribosomal RNA", at positions 28 to 493 of the family's 1533-position model. The record is from RNAcentral.